This 301-nucleotide ribosomal RNA is filed under the name uncultured bacterium. RNAcentral's name for it is "partial 16S ribosomal RNA". It matches the Rfam family "Bacterial small subunit ribosomal RNA", at positions 509 to 807 of the family's 1533-position model. The record is from RNAcentral.
CAGUCGCCGCGGGAAUACGUAGGGUGCAAGCGUUAAUCGGAAUUACUGGGCGUAAAGCGUGCGCAGGCGGUUCUAUAAGACAGAUGUGAAAUCCCCGGGCUCAACCUGGGAACUGCAUUUGUGACUGUAGAGCUGGAGUGCGGCAGAGGGGGAUGGAAUUUCUGGUGGAGCGGUGAAAUGCGUUGAGAUCGGAAAGAACACCAACGGCGAAAGCACUCUGUUGGGCCGACACUGACACUGAGAGACGAAAGCUAGGGGAGCAAAUGGGAUUAGAUACCCCUGUAGUCCCUGUCUCUUAUAC